Molecule: ribosomal RNA, 494 nt
Filed under: uncultured bacterium
Lineage: Bacteria
Description: partial 16S ribosomal RNA
Rfam family: Bacterial small subunit ribosomal RNA
Source: RNAcentral
GACGAACGCUGGCGGCGUGCUUAACACAUGCAAGUCGAACGGAAAGGCCUGCUUUCCCUUGUGGAUUGCGGGUGCUCGAGUGGCGAACGGGUGAGUAACACGUGAGUGAUCUGCCCCCAACUUGGGUAUAAGCCUGGGAAACUGGGUCUAAUUCCCGAUAGGACUGCAGGGUGGUGCCUGUGGUGGAAAACGAUUUUCUAGUGGUUGGGGAUGAGCUCGCGGCCUAUCAGCUUGUUGGUGGGGUAAUGGCCUACCAAGGCGGCGACGGGUAGCCGGCCUGAGAGGGUGGACGGCCACAUUGGGACUGAGAUACGGCCCAGACUCCUACGGGAGGCAGCAGUGGGGAAUAUUGCACAAUGGGCGGAAGCCUGAUGCAGCGACGCCGCGUGGGGGAUGACGGCCUUCGGGUUGUAAACUCCUUUCGACCGCGAGGAAGCCGCCUGGUUGGAAGGGUGGUGACGGUAGUGGUAGAAGAAGCACCGGCUAACUACGUG